Camelus dromedarius (Arabian camel) is the source of this 959-nucleotide long non-coding RNA. RefSeq lists it as uncharacterized. Lineage: Eukaryota; Metazoa; Chordata; Mammalia; Artiodactyla; Camelidae. The record is from RefSeq and is a predicted model, not a curated record. The transcript is spliced from 3 exons.
GGUUGAAGACGGCCCCGUGGGUGCGAGUGCUGAGGUACACCGAGUCCGCAGGAUGGAUGGAACCAUAGAGGAAAGAGCAAGGUACCUCUCACACUUGUUGAAGCAGCUGGCACGUAUCUCAUGGGUCUAUCUUCACACCAUGCUAUGGUGCCAAAGGGAACUACAGCACCCACCUCAGUGAGCAGAGAACUGAGUGACAAAGAGGAGUCUCAGAACUUAACAAGCCGUGCCUAAGAAAGAGGAAAAAAAUGCACGUCCGUCUGACUGGGAUACAACUGGAUCCCAAAGGAAGGGUUCAUCCACAGGAGGAACUUGGGCAGACUGGGACAACCAGUUCCAGGGAUUUAUACUCUAGCAGACAAAGGUCUGCACUGGCUGUGACUCCCUGCAUAAGGAAGACAAGCUGUGUAGAUAGAAAGCCCUGCAGAGGCACUGAAAGAGGAGAGUUUUGCUUCGUGGUUCCAGUGCGCUAUCUAGUAUACUUCUGCAGCACCACACCUUCUCCAGCACCUGCUCCUGCUUUGUUUGGGGGCCAGAAGCACCCAGCAGCCAACAGUUCUCCCUAGCACCUACGGGGCUGUUUUGUAACAGAGGCUUCCAGGAGACAUUUCCGCAGGAAUAGCUUUCCCCAGCACCCUAGAAGUGCCAGCAGGUUCUGUAGGGUGGAUUUCUAGCAAGUUCCACUACCACAGAUUCCCACUGACUUCUUGCCAUUUAAUGAGCCAUGACUGUGUCCUUCCUCUCUAUCAAGGUCUCAAUCAGUCCUGGCCAGUGGAGAGAGGCUUUUCCUUGGGUGAGCUAAGUACUAGGGGUAAUGGCAGUUCCUUAUAUCUGCUUUUCUUAUACCCUUUAAAGUGCUCUAGUUCUUACUAGCCAUGAUCAUUUGUAAUUAAAAACAUCUGUACCAAGUGGACUCUCACUUGUGCAGUGAUAAUCGUGAGUAUUUUCAUUAAAGAUAU